This 71-nucleotide transfer RNA is filed under the name Marmota marmota marmota (Alpine marmot). It matches the Rfam family "tRNA". From Rfam's summary of the family: Transfer RNA (tRNA) molecules are approximately 80 nucleotides in length. The record is from Rfam by way of RNAcentral. RNAcentral also lists the same sequence under 1 other name. Lineage: Eukaryota; Metazoa; Chordata; Mammalia; Rodentia; Sciuridae.
GGGGUUGUGGCUCAGUGGUAGAGUACUCAUCUAGCACACAUGAGGCCCUGGGUUUGAUUCUCAGCAUCCCA